This 569-nucleotide unclassified non-coding RNA is filed under the name Athalia rosae (coleseed sawfly). RNAcentral describes it as "misc RNA ENSAEAG00005010102.1". Lineage: Eukaryota; Metazoa; Arthropoda; Insecta; Hymenoptera; Athaliidae. The record is from RNAcentral.
CUAUUAUUUAUUUUUAGAAUAAUAAUUAAUAUAUUUUCAGUUUGCUAACUGCAAUUGGUUGACUGAAGAAUCUUCAAUCAAUGAUACAUUGUACUGCAUUCGUGCACCUUAGAACAAAUACGUACGUCAUCGUUUUAUCAUGAGAGGUCAGCAGUGAAUCAAUCACACAAUCCGCUCGAAGAAUCAUUCAACUGAGUACUAGUCAAUAUUCAGGGCUCAUCAAACUCAGGAUCUUCAGGAUAAAAAUAUUCGUUAUCGAUAUCUUGUGUCGGAACGCUAGGGAAGGAGAUCAAGUUCAUAGUUCAUUGACUAAAUUCAGUACUGAAAAAGCAACAGAAAAACAGAAAUAAAUAAGAAAUAAAUAAGAAACGCAAAUCAUACUGCGAAAUUCGUCAUUCUUACACUAACGGCCGACAUAAAUAAAAAUCCAAUUGUGUUACAAUUAUGAAAGAUAAUCACCUGUAAUAUGUACUCGAUUUCUCGGCCCUCCAUCGCUUAAUGAACCAAACUAGCACACAGACAAAUCCCAAGAGUACCAGAACUCCAAUAACUGUAAGCAAUGUAAUUCC